GACGAACGCUGGCGGCGUGCUUAACACAUGCAAGUCGAACGGAAAGGCCCUGCUUUUGUGGGGGGCUCGAGUGGCGAACGGGUGAGUAACACGUGAGUAACCUGCCCUUGACUGUGGGAUAACUUCAGGAAACUGGGGCUAAUACCGGAUAGGAGCUCCUGCUGCAUGGUGGGGGUUGGAAAGUUUCGGCGGUUGGGGAUGGACUCGCGGCUUAUCAGCUUGUUGGUGGGGGGGUGGCUUACCAAGGCUUUGACGGGUAGCCGGCCUGAGAGGUUGACCGGCGACAUUGGGACUGCGAGACGGCCCAGACUCCUACGGGAGGCAGUAGUGGGGAAUAUUGCACAAUGGGCGGAAGCCUGAGGCAGCAACGCCGCGUGCGGGAUGACGGUUUUCGGGUUGUAAACCGCUUUCGCCUGUGACGAAGCGUGAGUGACGGUAAUGGGUAAAGAAGCACCGGCUAACUACGUG
RNAcentral lists this ribosomal RNA (468 nucleotides) under uncultured bacterium. RNAcentral describes it as "partial 16S ribosomal RNA". It matches the Rfam family "Bacterial small subunit ribosomal RNA", at positions 28 to 507 of the family's 1533-position model. The record is from RNAcentral.